This is a microRNA precursor of Colobus angolensis palliatus, 98 nucleotides long. NCBI's taxonomy places the organism in Eukaryota, Metazoa, Chordata, Mammalia, Primates, Cercopithecidae. The record is from Ensembl.
AGGUGGGAGGAUUGCUUGAGCCUGGGAGGUGGAGGUUGCAGUGAGCCAAGAUCAUGCCACUGCACUCCAGCCUGGGCAACAGAGUGAGACUCUUUCUC